UCCGUAGGUGAACCUGCGGAAGGAUCAUUACCGAGUGCGGGCCCUCUGGGUCCAACCUCCCAUCCGUGUCUAUCUGUACCCUGUUGCUUCGGCGUGGCCACGGCCCGCCGGAGACUAACAUUUGAACGCUGUCUGAAGUUUGCAGUCUGAGUUUUUAGUUAAACAAUCGUUAAAACUUUCAACAACGGAUCUCUUGGUUCCGGCAUCGAUGAAGAACGCAGCGAAAUGCGAUAAUUAAUGUGAAUUGCAGAAUUCAGUGAAUCAUCGAGUCUUUGAACGCACAUUGCGCCCCCUGGUAUUCCGGGGGGCAUGCCUGUCCGAGCGUCAUUGCUGCCCUCAAGCACGGCUUGUGUGUUGGGCUUCCGUCCCUGGCAACGGGGACGGGCCCAAAAGGCAGUGGCGGCACCAUGUCUGGUCCUCGGGCGUAUGGGGCUUUGUCACCCGCUCCCGUAGGUCCAGCUGGCAGCUAGCCUCGCAACC
RNAcentral lists this ribosomal RNA (480 nucleotides) under uncultured fungus. RNAcentral's name for it is "eukaryotic LSU rRNA". The stretch from base 174 to 327 matches the Rfam family "5.8S ribosomal RNA". Lineage: Eukaryota; Fungi. The record is from RNAcentral.